GAUCCUGGCUCAGGACGAACGCUGGCGGCGUGCUUAACACAUGCAAGUCGAACGAGAAUCUGCAGAAGGAGUUUUCGGACAACGGAAGCAGAGGACAGUGGCGGACUGGUGAGUAACGCGUGAGGAACCUGCCUUUCAGAGGGGGACAACAGUUGGAAACGACUGCUAAUACCGCAUGAUGUGUUUGGGUGGCAUCACUUGAACACCAAAGAUUUAUCGCUGAAAGAUGG
RNAcentral lists this ribosomal RNA (230 nucleotides) under uncultured bacterium. RNAcentral describes it as "partial 16S ribosomal RNA". It matches the Rfam family "Bacterial small subunit ribosomal RNA", at positions 15 to 228 of the family's 1533-position model. The record is from RNAcentral.